RNAcentral lists this ribosomal RNA (253 nucleotides) under uncultured bacterium. RNAcentral's name for it is "partial 16S ribosomal RNA". It matches the Rfam family "Bacterial small subunit ribosomal RNA", at positions 524 to 776 of the family's 1533-position model. The record is from RNAcentral.
UACAGAGGGUGCGAACGUUGCUCGGAAUUACUGGGCGUAAAGCGCGUGUAGACGGAUUGCUAAGUCGGGCGUGAAAUCCCCAGGCUCAACCUGGGAACUGCGCUCGAAACUGGCAGUCUCGAGUAUCGGAGAGGGUGGCGGAAUUCCUGAUGUAGAGGUGAAAUUCGUAGAUAUCAGGAGGAACACCGGUGGCGAAGACGGCCACCUGGACGAUUACUGACGCUGAGACGCGAAAGCGUGGGGAGCAAACAGG